Molecule: small RNA, 451 nt
Filed under: Histoplasma capsulatum var. duboisii H88
Lineage: Eukaryota; Fungi; Ascomycota; Eurotiomycetes; Onygenales; Ajellomycetaceae
Description: Histoplasma capsulatum H88 hypothetical RNA
Source: RNAcentral
UGGUAGCAAUAUUACAACUUAAAUUCUUAGCGCUGAUCAAAACUUUCGAGAGGAUCCUCCGUAUGAUAGAUACACUCUGAUAAUUACAUUAUAAAAAGGCAGUAUUUACAAGGAAGGAAUGCUCGGUUAUACGAGAGGCAGUGCUCAGGUUGCAAGAAUCAAGAGGUGGUAUAAAAUCUCUAAUACAUGAGAUAUUGUCUCUGACAUACCCCCUUCUCGGCCAGAAGUGGAUGCACAGUCCUGGGGACAGAGUCUUUUCAAGAGUUGCUAUCUGGAUUCUGUUCUCUCCCUUACUGUGUAUAUAGAGAUCUCUUCAGCGUAGCACGUCCCCAUGCCCGAAGGCUUGGGGGGCGCAGGCGUUGCAUGCACCCCUCUGGGGCGCUAAACAAAUACAUACAUACAUACCCCCUUCAGCAGAAUAGCGCAAGGAAUGAAGCUGGAUUAGAUUACC